RNAcentral lists this ribosomal RNA (707 nucleotides) under Faucicola osloensis. RNAcentral describes it as "bacterial SSU rRNA". It matches the Rfam family "Bacterial small subunit ribosomal RNA", at positions 24 to 729 of the family's 1533-position model. Lineage: Bacteria; Pseudomonadati; Pseudomonadota; Gammaproteobacteria; Moraxellales; Moraxellaceae. The record is from RNAcentral.
UCAGAUUGAACGCUGGCGGCAGGCUUAACACAUGCAAGUCGAACGAUGACUCUCUAGCUUGCUAGAGAUGAUUAGUGGCGGACGGGUGAGUAACAUUUAGGAAUCUGCCUAGUAGUGGGGGAUAGCUCGGGGAAACUCGAAUUAAUACCGCAUACGACCUACGGGUGAAAGGGGGCGCAAGCUCUUGCUAUUAGAUGAGCCUAAAUCAGAUUAGCUAGUUGGUGGGGUAAAGGCCCACCAAGGCGACGAUCUGUAACUGGUCUGAGAGGAUGAUCAGUCACACCGGAACUGAGACACGGUCCGGACUCCUACGGGAGGCAGCAGUGGGGAAUAUUGGACAAUGGGGGCAACCCUGAUCCAGCCAUGCCGCGUGUGUGAAGAAGGCCUUUUGGUUGUAAAGCACUUUAAGCAGGGAGGAGAGGCUAAUGGUUAAUACCCAUUAGAUUAGACGUUACCUGCAGAAUAAGCACCGGCUAACUCUGUGCCAGCAGCCGCGGUAAUACAGAGGGUGCGAGCGUUAAUCGGAAUUACUGGGCGUAAAGCGAGUGUAGGUGGCUCAUUAAGUCACAUGUGAAAUCCCCGGGCUUAACCUGGGAACUGCAUGUGAUACUGGUGGUGCUAGAAUAUGUGAGAGGGAAGUAGAAUUCCAGGUGUAGCGGUGAAAUGCGUAGAGAUCUGGAGGAAUACCGAUGGCGAAGGCAGCUUCC